RNAcentral lists this ribosomal RNA (347 nucleotides) under uncultured bacterium. RNAcentral's name for it is "partial 16S ribosomal RNA". It matches the Rfam family "Bacterial small subunit ribosomal RNA", at positions 338 to 682 of the family's 1533-position model. The record is from RNAcentral.
CCUACGGGGGGCAGCAGUGAGGAAUAUUGGUCAAUGGGCUUACGCCUGAACCAGCCAAGUCGCGUGAGGGAAGACUGCCCUAUGGGUUGUAAACCUCUUUUGUCAGGGAGCAAAUGGCGCUACGUGUAGCGGUAUAGAGAGUACCUGAAGAAAAAGCAUCGGCUAACCCCGUGCCAGCAGCCGCGGUAAUACGGAGGAUGCGAGCGUUAGCCGGAUUUAUUGGGUUUAAAGGGUGCGUAGGCGGGCUGUUAAGUCAGCGGUAAAAGCCCGGGGCUCAACCCCGGCGCGCCGUUGAAACUGGCUGUCUUGAGCUGUCGAGAUGUAUGCGGAUUGCGCAUUGUAGCGGU